Termitomyces sp. 'cryptogamus' is the source of this 96-nucleotide non-coding RNA. Lineage: Eukaryota; Fungi; Basidiomycota; Agaricomycetes; Agaricales; Lyophyllaceae. The record is from the annotation of a GenBank genome assembly.
GGCCUGAUGGUCUAGUAGUAUGAUUCCUUGUUAGGGUGGUUCUCUUAAACCAAUGCCACAUCGAGGAGGUCCCGGGUUCAAUUCCCGGUCAGGCCC